GCUAGUGUAGCACAGUCGGUAGUGCAUCUCACUCGUAAUGAGAAGGUCGCGUGUUCGAGUCACGUCACUAGCUCCA
RNAcentral lists this transfer RNA (76 nucleotides) under Lentisphaeria bacterium. RNAcentral describes it as "tRNA-Thr". It matches the Rfam family "tRNA". Rfam says of the family: Transfer RNA (tRNA) molecules are approximately 80 nucleotides in length. Their secondary structure includes four short double-helical elements and three loops (D, anti-codon, and T loops). The record is from RNAcentral. Lineage: Bacteria; Pseudomonadati; Lentisphaerota; Lentisphaeria. RNAcentral also lists the same sequence under 1 other name.